Homo sapiens (human) is the source of this 148-nucleotide non-coding RNA. It matches the Rfam family "Metazoan signal recognition particle RNA". From Rfam's summary of the family: The signal recognition particle (SRP) is a universally conserved ribonucleoprotein. It is involved in the co-translational targeting of proteins to membranes. The record is from Rfam. Lineage: Eukaryota; Metazoa; Chordata; Mammalia; Primates; Hominidae.
GCCAGGCGUGGUGGUGCAUGCCUGUAAUCCCAGCUACCUGGGAGGCUGAGACACAAGAAUCACUUGAACCUAGGAGGUGGAGGUUGCAGUGAGCCAAGAUUGUGCCACUGCACUCCAGCCUGGGUGACAGAGUGAGACUUGGUCUCAA